UCAACACUAAUAUCUUGAGCCAUCAGAAGCCUUCUCAAAUGCACUUGUUCAUGACAAAAGGACUCUUUCUCUUUUGAGGAAUAAAACUCAUACUGAAGUUGGAGUUGGUAUUAUCAAAGCUCACAAGCACAAAGGGCCUUACUUAUGGUGUGUUCUGUUUAGUAGUAGCCAGAGAAAUACUACGUUCGUACUUGAUGAUCUUGGUGAGGGGGUUAAGCAGAAGAAAGGGUGUUAUAGUGGAACCAGCUUCUCUUGCAGCAGAGCGCACAAAGGAUUAUCAAAGCUCACAAGCACAAAGGACCUUACUUAUGGUGUGUUCUGUUUAGUAGUAGCCAGAGAAAUACCACAUUCGUGCUUGAUGAUCUUGGAGAAGGAUUAAGCAGAAGAAAGGAUGUUAUAGUGGAACCAGCUUCUCUUGCAGCAGAGCGCACAGAGACGA
RNAcentral lists this long non-coding RNA (439 nucleotides) under Nicotiana benthamiana. Its description in RNAcentral is "long non-coding RNA (NBEN_LNC015053)". Lineage: Eukaryota; Viridiplantae; Streptophyta; Magnoliopsida; Solanales; Solanaceae. The record is from RNAcentral.